ACUCAAAUGAAUAGACGGGAACCCGCACAAGCGGUGGAGCAUGUGGUUUAAUUCGAUGGUAAGCGAGGAACCUUACCAAGGCUUGACAUGUCUGGAAUUCCCUGGAAACAGGGAAGUGCCGCAAGGAACCAGAACACAGGUGUUGCAUGGUUGUCGUCAGCUCGUGUCGUGAGAUGUUGGGUUAAGUCCUCUAACGAGCGCAACCCUCGUCCUCUGUUACUAUUCACGGAGGAGACUGCCUGGGUUUAACCAGGAGGAAGGUGGGGAUGACGUCAAAUCAGCAUGGCCCUUACGCCUUGGGCUACACACGUGCUACAAUGGCCAGUUACAAUGGGUUGCAAAGCAGCAAUGCGAAGCUAAUCUCAUCAAAGCUGGUCCCAGUUCGGAUUGAGGGCUGCAAUUCGCCCUCAUGAAGCCGGAAUCGCUAGUAAACGCCAAUCAGCCAUGUGGCGUUGAAUACGUUCUCGGGUUUUGUACACACCGCCCGU
Molecule: ribosomal RNA, 488 nt
Filed under: uncultured bacterium
Lineage: Bacteria
Description: partial 16S ribosomal RNA
Rfam family: Bacterial small subunit ribosomal RNA
Source: RNAcentral